UUCGAGCCCAGAGCCAUUGUUGGUUCUCC
Molecule: non-coding RNA, 29 nt
Filed under: Rattus norvegicus (Norway rat)
Lineage: Eukaryota; Metazoa; Chordata; Mammalia; Rodentia; Muridae
Source: RNAcentral